This 211-nucleotide long non-coding RNA is filed under the name Prunus persica (peach). RNAcentral's name for it is "long non-coding RNA (PPER_LNC003756)". Lineage: Eukaryota; Viridiplantae; Streptophyta; Magnoliopsida; Rosales; Rosaceae. The record is from RNAcentral.
CAUGAACAUAAAACGUUUACAAUUAUAUUUUAUAAAAACACAGCUAACAAAACAUCUAUGUUUGUGUGCUUAAAUCAAUAAGAUCUGCAAAGGGGUUGUAUCUUUCUAUUAAGUCUUAUGUGUAUUAGGUUUAGUUACUCUAAUGCUCUUUGAAAUUAUGAUCAAAUCUCAUAUUGUCUUUAAAACUAUAGCCAAAUUUCAUAUUGUCCCC